UCCUCUCUAUGAGUAACAGUGAGAAGUGCUUGAACAAUUUCCUGGAAAUAUGGAGUCAGUGGCGAUGAUGGGCCCACCACUUCAUAACCCUGGGCAAGAAAAUAAAGGGCGCCACAUGCCUUCUCUGCUACAUUUGGAGCAUCUUUCAUGCUCUGAAGCAGUACAGUGAUGAUCUGUUGGCAAUUUGCCCGAGUAAUUAUGGGUGCAUCCAUGGUUGAGCCAUGAAGAAAUUCAAAGAUCCGUCCAAGGGUCCAUGCAGUAGUGUCCUUGACAUGGUUAUUUGGAUCCUUUGUCAAAGCACUGAGCAUGAAAUUCAAGGCAACAUUAACAAUAGGAAUUAACUUGUCAGGGGAAGGACCCUCCAAGAUUGAGCCAAAGGCAUAAGUUGCUGCCUCUCUCUGC
RNAcentral lists this unclassified non-coding RNA (402 nucleotides) under Hevea brasiliensis (rubber tree). Lineage: Eukaryota; Viridiplantae; Streptophyta; Magnoliopsida; Malpighiales; Euphorbiaceae. The record is from RNAcentral.